RNAcentral lists this ribosomal RNA (486 nucleotides) under uncultured bacterium. Its description in RNAcentral is "partial 16S ribosomal RNA". It matches the Rfam family "Bacterial small subunit ribosomal RNA", at positions 28 to 507 of the family's 1533-position model. The record is from RNAcentral.
GAUGAACGCUGGCGGCGUGCCUAAUACAUGCAAGUCGAACGCUGGAAAUCUAGCUUGCUAGAUUGAAGGAGUGGCGAACGGGUGAGUAAUACAUAAGCAACCUACCCACGAAGACUGGGAUAAUCUCUGGAAACGGGGACUAAUACCGGAUAGGUAAUCGGAAGGCAUCUUCUGAUUAUUAAAGGUUAAAAACACUGGUGGAUGGGCUUAUGGCGCAUUAGUUAGUUGGUGAGGUAACGGCCCACCAAGACGAUGAUGCGUAGCCGGCCUGAGAGGGUGAACGGCCACAUUGGGACUGAGACACGGCCCAGACUCCUACGGGAGGCAGCGGUAGGGAAUUUUCGGCAAUGGGGGAAACCCUGACCGAGCAACGCCGCGUGAGUGAUGACGGCCUUCGGGUUGUAAAGCUCUGUUGUAAGGGAAGAACGGUAGAUAGAGAAUAUCUAAAUGACGGUACCUUACCAGAAAGCCACGGCUAACUACGUG